Molecule: transfer RNA, 73 nt
Filed under: Zootermopsis nevadensis
Lineage: Eukaryota; Metazoa; Arthropoda; Insecta; Blattodea; Termopsidae
Rfam family: tRNA
About the family: Transfer RNA (tRNA) molecules are approximately 80 nucleotides in length.
Source: Rfam by way of RNAcentral
GCCACGGAUGUCUAGCGGUUAGAACGCUGGCCUUGUAAUCCUGGGGUCUCGGGUUCGAUUCCCGGCGGUGCCC